AGGCCACAUCGAACAACGCAGGAAAAAUCUUAGUAGAUCGUAGGACAAGCCUACUCUCAUACUUACAAUACCCGGUUGCAACAAAGUCGUCUGCAAUGGAUGUAUCACCUCCAAUGUUAGAAAUUGAGAUUCUCGCCCAAAAGCAUGAAGCGGAGGGCUUUGAUGAGAAGCAGGGCCAGAGGCCUGUAUCAUUGCAUGAAACAAAGGAGGCGGUGAAUUACACUGCAUAUCCAGCAUGGAUUCUGACUUA
RNAcentral lists this ribosomal RNA (250 nucleotides) under Toxoplasma gondii ME49. Its description in RNAcentral is "Toxoplasma gondii rRNA TGME49_460590". Lineage: Eukaryota; Apicomplexa; Conoidasida; Eucoccidiorida; Sarcocystidae. The record is from RNAcentral.